AGUGAACGCUGGCGGUAGGCCUAACACAUGCAAGUCGAACGGCAGCACAGUAAGAGCUUGCUCUUACGGGUGGCGAGUGGCGGACGGGUGAGGAAUACAUCGGAAUCUACUUUUUCGUGGGGGAUAACGUAGGGAAACUUACGCUAAUACCGCAUACUACCUACGGGUGAAAGCAGGGGAUCUUCGGACCUUGCGCGAUUGAAUGAGCCGAUGUCGGAUUAGCUAGUUGGCGGGGUAAAGGCCCACCAAGGCGACGAUCCGUAGCUGGUCUGAGAGGAUGAUCAGCCACACUGGAGCUGAGACACGGUCCAGACUCCUACGGGAGGCAGCAGUGGGGAAUAUUGGACAAUGGGCGCAAGCCUGAUCCAGCCAUACCGCGUGGGUGAAGAAGGCCUUCGGGUUGUAAAGCCCUUUUGUUGGGAAAGAAAAGCAGCAGGUUAAUACCCCGCUGUUCUGACGGUACCCAAAGAAUAAGCACCGGCUAACUUCGUG
This 492-nucleotide ribosomal RNA is filed under the name uncultured bacterium. Its description in RNAcentral is "partial 16S ribosomal RNA". It matches the Rfam family "Bacterial small subunit ribosomal RNA", at positions 29 to 507 of the family's 1533-position model. The record is from RNAcentral.